GCACCGGCAACUUCCGUGCCAGCAGCCGCGGUAAUACGGAGGGUGCGAGCGUUAAUCGGAAUUACUGGGCGUAAAGACGCAUGCAGGCGGCCGUCGUUAAGUCAGAUGUGAAAGACCCGGGGCGUUAACCUCGGAAUUGCAUUUGAAACUAGGCAGGCUAGAGUCUUGUAGAGGGGGGUAGGGAAGUUUACUAGGUGUAGCGGUGAAAUAGCGUAGAGAUCUGAAGGAAUACCAGUGGCGAAGGCGGCCCCCUCGGACAAAGACUGACGCUCAGAUGCGAAAGCGUGGGGAGCAAACAGGAUUAGAUACCCCUGGUAG
RNAcentral lists this ribosomal RNA (318 nucleotides) under uncultured bacterium. Its description in RNAcentral is "bacterial SSU rRNA". It matches the Rfam family "Bacterial small subunit ribosomal RNA", at positions 490 to 793 of the family's 1533-position model. The record is from RNAcentral.